GACGAACGCUGGCGGCGUGCUUAACACAUGCAAGUCGAACGGAAAGGCCCUGCUUUUGUGGGGUGCUCGAGUGGCGAACGGGUGAGUAACAAGUGAGUAACCUGCCCUUGACUUUGGGAUAACUUCAGGAAACUGGGGCUAAUACCGGAUAGAAGCUCCUGCUGCAUGGUGGGGGUUGGAAAGUUUCGGCGGUUGGGGAUGGACUCGCGGCUUAUCAGCUUGUUGGUGGGGUAGUGGCUUACCAAGGCUUUGACGGGUAGCCGGCCUGAGAGGGUGACCGGCCACAUUGGGACUGAGAUACGGCCCAGACUCCUACGGGAGGCAGCAGUGGGGAAUAUUGCACAAUGGGCGGAAGCCUGAUGCAGCAACGCCGCGGGCGGGAUGACGGCCUUCGGUUUGUAAACCGCUUUCGCCUGUGACGAAGCGUGAGUGACGGUAAUGGGUAAAGAAGCACCGGCUAACUACGUG
RNAcentral lists this ribosomal RNA (468 nucleotides) under uncultured bacterium. Its description in RNAcentral is "partial 16S ribosomal RNA". It matches the Rfam family "Bacterial small subunit ribosomal RNA", at positions 28 to 507 of the family's 1533-position model. The record is from RNAcentral.